UAGGACUUAACUACUAUCUUAAUUUCCCAUCAGAAGAAUCAAAGUUGGGAACUGAUCUGCAAAAGAAGCUGUCGCGGCUCUGUAUUCUUGACCUUCUUACUUAAUUGAGCAUUACUGGUCUAUGAGGUAACGUUGCCUUCUGCUCUCACUAAUACAUGGAGCUGCUGAGUGUCUGUAACUGAACAGAGGAGACUGAAAAACCGAAGAAUAGAGUCUGAUGUUCUCUGAUCGGGGUAUGCAAAUUAUGAAGCCCUGUGACUGUAACUCCACUGGGCAGUACUCAUUAAGAGGCUACAUAUUCUGUGCAACCCCUCAGAAAGCAAAGUCUGAAGAAUACCACAAAGGAGAAUAGAAAUCACAGAGGAGCGAGCAAUGCCUCUCCCAUGCAUUAAGCGAAUAAGAUACUUCCACAAGACUAAACUGGCCCUGGCGGGAGUUAUUUUGCAUCCAAAGUGAAGUAACCGCUGCUUUGGGGGCCCAGUUCGGGAGCAGGGCAAGGACAGCGAGGGAGCCGAAGCGCCUCGCGGCUGAGAGGCCCGGAGACAAAAGAGAAGCCCCGCUCCGCGGCAGGACGCCUCUCCCGGCUAGGCUGACAAACCCACGCUGCCCGUUUAUCGCGCCCCGUCC
Struthio camelus australis is the source of this 627-nucleotide non-coding RNA. The record is from RefSeq and is a predicted model, not a curated record. NCBI's taxonomy places the organism in Eukaryota, Metazoa, Chordata, Aves, Struthioniformes, Struthionidae.